UCGAGUGGCGAACGGGUGAGUAACACGUGGGUGAUCUGCCCUGCACUUUGGGAUAAGCCUGGGAAACUGGGUCUAAUACCGAAUAUGACCACGCGCUUCAUGGUGUGUGGUGGAAAGCUUUUGCGGUGUGGGAUGGGCCCGCGGCCUAUCAGCUUGUUGGUGGGGUAAUGGCCUACCAAGGCGACGACGGGUAGCCGGCCUGAGAGGGUGACCGGCCACACUGGGACUGAGAUACGGCCCAGACUCCUACGGGAGGCAGCAGUGGGGAAUAUUGCACAAUGGGCGCAAGCCUGAUGCAGCGACGCCGCGUGAGGGAUGACGGCCUUCGGGUUGUAAACCUCUUUCAAUAGGGACGAAGCGCAAGUGACGGUACCUAUAGAAGAAGGACCGGCCAACUACG
This 400-nucleotide ribosomal RNA is filed under the name Mycolicibacterium fortuitum. RNAcentral describes it as "bacterial SSU rRNA". It matches the Rfam family "Bacterial small subunit ribosomal RNA", at positions 91 to 505 of the family's 1533-position model. The record is from RNAcentral. Lineage: Bacteria; Bacillati; Actinomycetota; Actinomycetes; Mycobacteriales; Mycobacteriaceae.